AGUGAACGCUGGCGGUAGGCCUAACACAUGCAAGUCGAACGGCAGCACAGUAAGAGCUUGCUCUUACGGGUGGCGAGUGGCGGACGGGUGAGGAAUACAUCGGAAUCUACUUUUUCGUGGGGGAUAACGUAGGGAAACUUACGCUAAUACCGCAUACGACCUACGGGUGAAAGCAGGGGAUCUUCGGACCUUGCGCGAUUGAAUGAGCCGAUGUCGGAUUAGCUAGUUGGCGGGGUAAAGGCCCACCAAGGCGACGAUCCGUAGCUGGUCUGAGAGGAUGAUCACCCACACGGGAACUGAGACACGGUCCAGCCCCCUAGGGGGGGCAGCAGGGGGGAAUUUUGGAAAAGGGGCGAAAGCCUGAUCCAGCCAAACCGGGGGGGUGAAGAAGGCCUUCGGGUUGUAAAGCCCUUUUGUUGGGAAAAAAAAGAAGCAGGUUAAAACCCCGCUUUUCUGACGGAACCAAAAGAAAAAGCACCGGCGAACUUCGU
RNAcentral lists this ribosomal RNA (491 nucleotides) under uncultured bacterium. Its description in RNAcentral is "partial 16S ribosomal RNA". It matches the Rfam family "Bacterial small subunit ribosomal RNA", at positions 29 to 506 of the family's 1533-position model. The record is from RNAcentral.